This 427-nucleotide ribosomal RNA is filed under the name uncultured Acinetobacter sp. RNAcentral's name for it is "bacterial SSU rRNA". It matches the Rfam family "Bacterial small subunit ribosomal RNA", at positions 356 to 774 of the family's 1533-position model. The record is from RNAcentral. Lineage: Bacteria; Pseudomonadati; Pseudomonadota; Gammaproteobacteria; Moraxellales; Moraxellaceae.
GAGGAAUAUUGGACAAUGGGGGGAACCCUGAUCCAGCCAUGCCGCGUGUGUGAAGAAGGCCUUAUGGUUGUAAAGCACUUUAAGCGAGGAGGAGGCUCUUUUGGUUAAUACCCAAGAUGAGUGGACGUUACUCGCAGAAUAAGCACCGGCUACCUCUGUGCCAGCAGCCGCGGUAAUACAGAGGGUGCGAGCGUUAAUCGGAUUUACUGGGCGUAAAGCGUGCGUAGGCGGCUUUUUAAGUCGGAUGUGAAAUCCCCGAGCUUAACUUGGGAAUUGCAUUCGAUACUGGGAAGCUAGAGUAUGGGAGAGGAUGGUAGAAUUCCAGGUGUAGCGGUGAAAUGCGUAGAUAUAGGAAGGAACACCAGUGGCGAAGGCGACCACCUGGACUGAUACUGACACUGAGGUGCGAAAGCGUGGGGAGCAAACA